Molecule: unclassified non-coding RNA, 422 nt
Filed under: soil metagenome
Description: partial contains 5.8S ribosomal RNA, internal transcribed spacer 2, and large subunit ribosomal RNA
Rfam family: 5.8S ribosomal RNA (bases 1-120)
Source: RNAcentral
GAUGAAGAACGCAGCGAAAUGCGAUAAGUAGUGUGAAUUGCAGAAUUCAGUGAAUCAUCGAAUCUUUGAACGCACCUUGCGCUCCCUGGUAUUCCGGGGAGCACGCCUGUUCGAGUGUCGCGAAAUUCUUCAAGCCUUGGAUGGAUUUUUUUUGUCUGUCCUUGGGCUUGGUUGUUGGGCUCUGCCGUGUCCUUCAUUGGGACGGCUGGCCUUAAAAGCAUUAGCCGAUCCUCGUGUGGUACUGGUUCUACUCAGCGUGAUAACAAUCUGAUCGUUGAGGACAUCUUCUGGAUGGCCAGUCAUCAUUUGGGUUGCUUCUAAACCGGUUUCGCAGAUUGCUCAAUCUGUGUGCCACUUUUCAGCUUUGACCUCGAAUCAGGUGGGACUACCCGCUGAACUUAAGCAUAUCAAUAAGCGGAGGA